CUUUGUAAUUGGAAUGAUGGGAAUUUAAACCUCUUCCAGAGUAUCAAUUGGAGGGCAAGUCUGGUGCCAGCAGCCGCGGUAAUUCCAGCUCCAAUAGCGUAUAUUAAAAUUGUUGCAGUUAAAAAGCUCGUAGUUGAAUUUCUGCUGCAUUGCUUGUGUCCCUCUGGGGUCUGUGCAUGUGGCUUUUUUCGGACGGAGUUUCUUUGUCUGAAUGUUUACUUUGAGAAAAUUAGAGUGCUCAAAGCAGGCUUUCGCCUUGAAUAGUUUAGCAUGGAAUAAUAAAGUAGGACUUUGGUUCUAUUUUGUUGGUUUUAGGUACCAAAGUAAUGGUUAAUAGGAACAGUUGGGGGCAUUCGUAUUUAACUGUCAGAGGUGAAAUUCUUAGAUUUGUUAAAGACGAACUACUGCGAAAGCAUUUGCCAAGGAUGUUUUCAUUAAUCAAGAACGAAAGUUAGGGGAUCGAAGACGAUCAGAUACCGUCGUAGUCCU
This 489-nucleotide ribosomal RNA is filed under the name Babesia sp. RNAcentral's name for it is "SSU rRNA". It matches the Rfam family "Eukaryotic small subunit ribosomal RNA", at positions 501 to 1027 of the family's 1831-position model. Lineage: Eukaryota; Apicomplexa; Aconoidasida; Piroplasmida; Babesiidae. The record is from RNAcentral.